ACUCUUAAAGGUUUCUUAGCUGAGGUGUGUAUUAACAUAUCUCCUUGUUUAAUUCUUUCUCGCUUAGGUGGCUUUAGGGCCUCCAAAUGUGUUUUACUAGCUGUUACCUUAAUCUUUGUGAAAUGAUAAAAUGUUUUUCUUUAUUGUAUAUUUCUUUUGAAAUUUUCUUACAAAUUUCUUAGGAUGGUGAAUGUUUAUAAAGUGGAAGGAAAAUUUGGCGACAAUGUUUUUGAUGAGUCAGAGAACAUAUUCUUAAAGGAAGAUGCUUGUGAAAUGUCAAUUUUAUUUUGGAUGUUGGUCGGAAAUUUAUCUAUUUCUUCUAUUAUUACGAUAAUACGGAACAUGGCUUUUUUCUUCAAUUUGUUCAGGAAAAUAUAUUUUAAUUUGGUGUUCCUGUUUAAUUAUUAACAUGCAUCCAUUUUUUAUUUGGUGAAGUUUUAAAUCCAUUACUUUGUAAUCUUCUUGAGCUAUUUGUCAGUUUUGAAUAUGUGGCUGCAGUGGGA
RNAcentral lists this unclassified non-coding RNA (503 nucleotides) under Hevea brasiliensis (rubber tree). Lineage: Eukaryota; Viridiplantae; Streptophyta; Magnoliopsida; Malpighiales; Euphorbiaceae. The record is from RNAcentral.